AUGCUGCUCUGUCUGCAUGGGAGACCACGCCCAGUCAUCAGUAUUCCCCCUCUCAUCUCCUCCUUGUGCUGAGUGGUUUAGCUGGCGUCUCCAGAGAGAACCAGAGGCAGACGGUGGUGAUGAGUGUGCAGGCCUAACGGCUGGAUAUCCUGCCUGCUGCCCGUAAGGCCAGGUUGCACUAGGCUGUGGCAUGGAGACAAGCCCACACAACACAGUGUUUGUGUCUGUAUUUAGAUCCUUGUGGUUUAAUUCCCCUCAAAGUGACUGUUCUUUUACACAGAGAAUCAGGCUGAUUUCACUCUUUCUUCCUUCAUUGAUAGGUCUGACUGGGCUUUAGUAGCUAACAUCAGGCUAAUAAUCAGACAAGUUUUUAGCUUCAGAAGUGUGCCAGCUGUUAAGGUGGCAAAGGCUUGAGACGUAAUGGAAACACAAUACAUACACUACACCGUAACCCGAUACGCUGAAAAAAAGGAAGAAUGUGUAAUGACUCCUUGAGGUGAAGCACUGGUGAUGUGUUCACCACUUUAAUUCAGAUUACACCUGCAGAAGGUGCACACACACACACACACAUACACACACAGGAAUGGUAACACACUCAUAUAAAAAAGUUGCUGACAGCUGCAGUGGGGUUGCCAAAACAUACUGCUAUCUUGCAAAGCCAUUUCGCAAUGCUAGCUCCCUCUUCCUCUGCCGACCAUGUGUGCUGGGGUCAGGCUGUAGCUGCCAAGACUCUCUACAUCAGACAUACACAUUCCGUCUACUCCUUCCCAGUUUCCAUGUAGCUAGCUUCUUUCACUGCAAAUAGGACAGUAGACCAAUGGCCCACUGAUGAACUGAACCCUUCCUGCUCUUUCUGAUCCAAAGAGGAAAUUGCAAUGUUCCUCGUGGCUGGUUUAUACUUGAACAGCAUUUUGUCUGUGAAUGGUGGAAAGGGUUAAGUGAGCUAUAGAGUGAUGACACUUAGGCAGAGGAUUUGGUUAGUAACAUUUACACUAAGAUACAGGUCUAACUUUUUUCUGUCUCUUUUUCUCUCUAUACACACACACACACACACACACACACACACACACACACACACACACACACACACACACACACACACACACACACACACACACACACACACACACACACACACACACACACACACACACACACACACACACACACACACACACACACACACAGCAAGACAAUAGGAUUAAGUGGUUGGAGUACAUCUCAUUGUCUUGUUUAUUUUUCUAUCUUUGUGAAGGUGCAGCGGGUGUCAGUUUACUGAAGCUUUUUUUUCACUAUCCCACUGAGGUAAUUAUUUUUAAGUGCCUACAGGCUGUGGUGGAGGUUAGGGGUGAUCCAAAACAAAGCUGUUUAUAUUCCACAAAGCAGGUUCCUGAGUUACAGUAGUGGUACUGACAUAGUAGAUCCUUCAUUCCUACACACAAGUCAGAUUCUUUGGGAUUCCAAAAAGUAGUGCCAAUGAUAUAUUGGGAAAUACAAGUGAAAGUUUUCCACAUGCAAGUGAACACUUGGCAAUAAAGUGCUGCUAUAUUGAAUUAGAUAUAAGCUCAGUAUAAAGUAGAGCAUGGUGCAGUAGCUGAUUACCCCAUGUAUCAAGUAGCCAUAACAAAACGAUAAAGCUAUGGAGUGGAGCUGCCAAGGCUUAGAUAAGUCCGAUUUCUUCUCAAGAUGGAGGGUGUCGGAUUGCAAAAUAACUGCCUCUUUUUCUGAUUUGAAAAGAAUGUAGCUUAUGGCUUCUUUACAGGACUGUAUAUACACUACUCCUACCAUCCUGUAUAAGAACAUGUGCUGUCCUGUACUGACUGAGUCCUCCCUACAUGGUCUAAGAUCCCGCUCUCUCUGUUCGUCAGGUCUGCAGGUCAGGGUUAAUUGACUGAGAGGAAUGUGUGAGGCAGGCAGGACUGCUCGGUCGCAGUCUCCCUUUUAUCUGAUUAAGGCACUGCUUGUCUUAACUGGCACGCUGCACUACCGGGCCGGGCGGCUGCACUCAGAACCCCUUAUGCCACCACACACCCUAGCCACACACAGCCAGCCAGGGCCCUCAGUGGGCCAGGAGCCAGAGGCGCGACCCAUCUCUCCCCGGGUGGGUGCCUGUUGGCAUGGUGAGGUGUGUUUUCCUCCUGGGCAUGGUGGCUUGAAUAAGCGUGUGUCGGCUGAAGGCUGGUUUGACGGUGUCAGCGCUCCUUCAGUAGUGGGGUAUAAAAUGCUAAAUGUGCCCGUGUUUGAUCCCGCCUGGCCACUUGGCAGCUGUGCAAACAGCGGUGGGGCGAUUCAGCCUCCUCUGAUGUGGGCUGCUGCUUCUGGACCCAACAGAACAAACACAUUUGCUCAGGUCCAUUUCACUUUGCUGAGUCAAAUAAUGGCCAACCAGGAUGUUAGAUCAAGAGCACUUUUCGGUGCCUGGUAUUUGGUGCUGUGCCCAUAGUAUUUAGACAGUGUUUACCUAAACAAUGUCUCCAUGAUGCCAGGCUGCCAUUGUGCCCAGUGCGCAUUGGAUGCCCAGUCUCCUGAAUGGGCCACAGUCUAAUUUUAUGCAGAGCAGACGUUGGUAGAAUAGUUGUCUAUGAGGAGAAGUACUUUACUACUGGCCACAAUGACCCAGUGUCUCUGCUGUGAAUGGGCUGUGAUGUCACCCUAUAAUAUCAUUAAAUGGGUAUCUCCUCCUCCCUCCUCAUCCUUCGUUCAUUCAUCUCUUUGACCGUGGUCUUCCCCUGUUAAUCUGUGAAAUGUUAUCAUGAAUGGACAAUAUCGGGAUGACUGCACGUAUUCAUUUACCCUUUUAGAGUUUAGUCAUAUACAAUAGGUGUGCUACCUUGUGGAUACAUCAGUGUACUAAAUAGUAAGCAUAUGUGUAGAGAGAGGGAGCAAGAAAGGCAUUUGAAGGUGUGACAUACUGUAAGAUGUGCUGAAGCAUAGGUAUGUGUGGAAUCAAGUUGAAAAAUGUAAUUUGGUUGUAUAACGGUAUGUGAACUUGAAAGAUAGUUUCUUUUGACCGUGUCAGAAACAUCAGAAACAACAUUCCCCAAUAAGCCUUCUCAAGACUGCAACCAAAACAAAGAAAUGGCACGUCCCUGAGUUUUACAUCCUCCCUCCUCUAAUCCCUCCUCUAAUCCCUCCUCUCAUCCCUCCUCUCAUCCCUCCUCUCAUUCCUCCUCUCAUUCCUCCUCUCAUUCCUCCUCUCCCCUUCUCCCUCCUCUCAUUCCUCCUCUCAUUCCUCCUCUCCCCCUCUCCCUCCUCUCAUCCCUCCUCUCAUUCCCCCUCUCCCUCCUCUAAUCCCUCCUCUAAUCCCUCCUCUCAUCCCUCCUCUCAUCCCUCCUCUCAUCCCUCCUCUCAUCCCUCCUCUCAUUCCUCCUCUCAUUCCUCCUCUCCCCCUCUCCCUCCUCUCAUUCCUCCUCUCAUUCCUCCUCUCCCCCUCUCCCUCCUCUCAUUUCUCCUCUCAUUUCUCCUCUCAUUCCUCCUCUCAUUCCUCCUCUCCCUCCUCUCAUUCCUCCUCUCCCCCUCUCCCUCCUCUCAUCCCUCCUCUCAUCCCUCCUCUCAUCCCUCCUCUCAUUCCUCCUCUCAUUCCUCCUCUCCCCCUCUCCCUCCUCUCAUUCCUCCUCUCAUUCCUCCUCUCCCCCUCUCCCUCCUCUCAUUCCUCCUUUCAUUCCUCCUCUCCCCCUCUCCCUCCUCUCAUUCCUCCUCUCAUUCCUCCUCUCCCCCUCUCCCUCCUCUCAUUCCUCCUUUCAUUCCUCCUCUCCCCCUCUCCCUCCUCUCAUUCCUCCUCUCAUCCCUCCUCUCAUUCCUCCUCUCAUCCCUCCUCUCAUUCCUCCUCUCAUUCCUCCUCUCAUUCCUCCUCUCAUUCCUCCUCUCCCCCUCUCCCUCCUCUCAUUCCUCCUUUCAUUCCCCCUCUCCCUCCUCUCAUUCCUCCUCUCAUUCCUCCUCUCAUUCCUCCUCUCCCUCCUCUUUUCCAGCCUCUCUGUGGGCCACAUGAGCAUCUCUCAGUCUAACGUCACCUCAGGCCUUGAUGUGGCGUCGGCUUCUCUCAUCCUAGCUGUCUGUCAGUCUCUGCUAAUCACUGAGUCACAGCACCAGCCACACCACUGCAUGCCACUGGCUGCCUCCUGCCGCCACAGGCCCUUCCUUUCCCCAUUACUCCACAUUACUGGACUGACUGGGAGAGCUGACUGGGAACUGACUAGUGGUGGUCCACGCUGCCUCACCAAACCAUGGCCAACCACCUCCCACGCAUCCCACCAUUCCCUGUGCGUGGCACUACAUGUAUUUCUGUCCCCAUAUUGCUGUUUUACAGUUCCUCAUCAGGAGGUUGUUUGCCCAGAGUAAGAAUACUUUGCCUGGUAUACACAUCAAUCUGGUGUCCUCCGAGGAGCCCGGUCUUUUGUUUACGGCCAGCGGCCCAGAUUUUCCUCUUUCCUUUUUGUAUGCAUUUUCUGUUUUCUGCAGACCACCUGUUUUUGGAGUCAGCAUGAGUGCUGCUUUUGUAAUCAUGCUAGUAGUGAAUGUCCCAUGAGCCACAGCUUGCACUUUAAUGUAUGUCAACCCUACUAUAUCAGAGGGGUAUUGACAAGCAGGUCUGCUCUACUUAGCAGGGAACAAUAAGUAAAGCUGUGGCGGGGGAGGAGAGUUCUAUGAUGUAGGUGAGGCUCUGUGGCACUCAUGUCGAGUCGGGCCUCAGUGACACAGGCACAGUCAAAUCGGAGGCGCAUGUGCCCUUACCUUGCUCUGCUCUGGACCCCAAGGAGGGGAGGUUGGGGCCAGGACUGUGGUUGGUUGAGAGUUGGGUGUUUGGAACAGCUGGAUGCCUUAGCUUGGCCUGGCUCCUUCUCUCUCUUUCUUCAUAUCUGCAUAUUUGGGAUGGAGUGAGUGGCCUGGCCUGGCAAUCUCCAGACUGAGUGUUGCUAACGACAAUUAAUGUGGGCGUCUGGAGGAGGCCCAAGGGUCUGUCCUAAUGAGAAGUUGACAGCGUUCACUUCCAUCACUACAGAGCUGCUGGGACACAGUCCACUGGCAGUUUCUCAUAAAACCACAUGAAGAGGUCUCUCAACGUGCUCCUAUCCUCAGCCCUCAGAGCUCAGACUCCAGUAUGUUUUUUUGGGGAACUUCUUUGGAAGAAAUGACAAAUAAUGAGUAAAUGAUGAUAUUUAUUUAGAUAGACUGAUUGCUUGCAUUAUGUUUACUCACGUCAAGAGGAAGACAAUGUUCAGUCAUUCUCUGACGGUGUGAGUCACAUCUACUCAAUGUUUUGGAUGAGUCUGUGUGUGUGAGUGUUUGCACGCUCGUGUGCAUGUGUCCCAUGAGUUGCUGUUGUCCAUCUGUUACACAUAAUUUGAUCAGCACACACACAGCUAUUUCAUUUUGUCUGAAGUGUUGCAUUGCGUCAAAAAACACCUACGUUGAGAUAGAGGUGAAAAGUAAGUAGAUGUUUGAUAUGUUUUACAAAUAUAUGAUUGUUUGCCUCUCACUCAAACAUCAAUUUCAACUCUAAAACAUCACUGUUCCAUCGAAAAUAGAGAUGAAUUAAUGUAUUUGAACUCCAACCGUUUUCUAAGGGGCCACAGUCAUUCUCUGACUCAUUAGAGGCACACAAGAAAGCUGUGGGAAGCACAUUAGUGAUUGUUAAACACCAGAGGAAUGUAUGGCACGCAACAUGAAAACAAUGUGGUCUGGAGGGAAUUUAUUUAUCCACUGUCCAUCUGUCGCCCAUGCCCUAGAAUGAGCAGAGCACAUUGAGCUCUAUGAUGUAGAACUGUAUCCAUAUAGUGUUUGUGUGCGUAGAGUGUCACAAACAGAACUAUGGAAUGAAUGAAUAUUCUGUUAAUAUGAUGGCUUCCCUCUACUUUCAGGCGGUAACGCUUCCCGCCACAUUUCAGAACAGUGUCAGGAAACUGUUGCAGUUUGGGCUGAAAACAGGACAGGCAUGGUGGGUUUGUUAGAAGAAUGCAAGCGAGCAAGUAAACUGUUUGUCAGAUAUGUCGUGUGUUUGAUUUAAUGCCUAAACAGUUCCCUCAGAGCAUCCCCUGUGUGUUUACAACUGGGCUGGGGCCAGGGAAAGCUGCUACAUGCCGCUAAGCUCACACCACCUGCUCUGCUCUCUGGCAUGGUAGUCUAACAGCUAGCCAGAGACCUGCUAACUCACAAAGAACACGGAGCGGCCUUUUCCUGCUUUUUCCCCAUGUUUUUGGUCUUUGGUAGAUUGAAGUGUUCUGAAAUUUGCUGUAGGCGUUUUUCAUAGAGAGCUGGGGCAUUGCAAAAUGUGUAUGUAUUUUUGCAGAGUGAGACAUUUUGCAACACAGUCGUCAUUUCUACUUUGAAGACGUAUAAAAACAUCUGCUCUGUCUCUAUGAUUGAAGUGUUGAGUGUAUGAUCGUGAGUAGCAAGACAUGUAGGCGGCUGGCAUGGAUGGUGAGCAUGAGCCAUCAGUAAGAGCUUUGUCUCUGUUUUCCCCCCUCUGCAGUAAGCAGGGAAUUUCCACCAGCUUUCAAGAGAAACUCAGCAUCCACCAGGCAUAGCCUUGGAUCAAUUGAAAAAGGCAGCUAAUAUCAUCACACAUGAACUGAGACUGGUAAACAAUAUGGACGAGUUAAUGUACUUACCACACAUCAGAAGCUAGAAUUUCAAACAUAGAGAAAUAGAGAAGAGAAGCUGUGGGGGCAUUCGUCUCUGUUAGCCUCAGACCCUGGAGAGCUGUGUGUUUUGUAUUGUAAAGCGAGUGAGGCAUACUGUAGUUAUAGUUCUGGUCAACAGUAGUAGUUACAGUUCUGGUCAACAGUAGUAGUUACAGUUCUGGUCAACAGUAGUAGUUACAGUUCUGGUCAACAGUAGUAGUUACAGUUCUGGUCAACAGUAGUAGUUACAGUUCUGGUCAACAGUAGUAGUUACAGUUCUGGUCAACAGUAGUAGUUACAGUUCUGGUCAACAGUAGUAGUUACAGUUCUGGUCAACAGUAGUAGUUACAGUUCUGGUCAACAGUAGUAGUUACAGUUCUGGUCAACAGUAGUAGUUACAGUUCUGGUCAACAGUAGUAGUUACAGUUCUGGUCAACAGUAGUAGUUACAGUUCUGGUCAACAGUAGUAGUAGUAGUUACAGGUCUGGUCAACAGUAGUAGUAGUAGUUACAGGUCUGGUCAACAGUAGUAGUUACAGGUCUGGUCAACAGUAGUAGUUACAGGUCUGGUCAACAGUAGUAGUUACAGUUCUGGUCAACAGUAGUAGUUACAGUUCUGGUCAACAGUAGUAGUUACAGUUCUGGUCAACAGUAGUAGUUACAGUUCUGGUCAACAGUAGUAGUUACAGUUCUGGUCAACAGUAGUAGUUACAGUUCUGGUCAACAGUAGUAGUUACAGUUCUGGUCAACAGUAGUAGUUACAGUUCUGGUCAACAGUAGUAGUUACAGUUCUGGUCAACAGUAGUAGUUACAGUUCUGGUCAACAGUAGUAGUUACAGUUCUGGUCAACAGUAGUAGUAGUAGUUACAGGUCUGGUCAACAGUAGUAGUAGUAGUAGUUACAGGUCUGGUCAACAGUAGUAGUUACAGUUCUGGUCAACAGUAGUAGUUACAGGUCUGGUCAACAGUAGUAGUUACAGGUCUGGUCAACAGUAGUAGUUACAGGUCUGGUCAACAGUAGUAGUUACAGGUCUGGUCAACAGUAGUAGUUACAGGUCUGGUCAACAGUAGUAGUAGUAGUUACAGGUCUGGUCAACAGUAGUAGUAGUAGUUACAGGUCUGGUCAACAGUAGUAGUAGUAGUUACAGGUCUGGUCAACAGUAGUAGUAGUAGUUACAGGUCUGGUCAACAGUAGUAGUAGUAGUUACAGGUCUGGUCAACAGUAGUAGUAGUAGUUACAGGUCUGGUCAACAGUAGUAGUAGUAGUUACAGGUCUGGUCAACAGUAGUAGUAGUAGUUACAGGUCUGGUCAACAGUAGUAGUAGUAGUUACAGGUCUGGUCAACAGUAGUAGUAGUAGUUACAGGUCUGGUCAACAGUAGUAGUAGUAGUUACAGGUCUGGUCAACAGUAGUAGUAGUAGUUACAGGUCUGGUCAACAGUAGUAGUAGUAGUUACAGGUCUGGUCAACAGUAGUAGUAGUAGUUACAGGUCUGGUCAACAGUAGUAGUAGUAGUUACAGGUCUGGUCAACAGUAGUAGUAGUAGUUACAGGUCUGGUCAACAGUAGUAGUAGUAGUUACAGGUCUGGUCAACAGUAGUAGUAGUAGUUACAGGUCUGGUCAACAGUAGUAGUAGUAGUUACAGGUCUGGUCAACAGUAGUAGUAGUAGUUACAGGUCUGGUCAACAGUAGUAGUUACAGGUCUGGUCAACAGUAGUAGUUACAGGUCUGGUCAACAGUAGUAGUUACAGGUCUGGUCAACAGUAGUAGUAGUAGUUACAGGUCUGGUCAACAGUAGUAGUUACAGGUCUGGUCAACAGUAGUAGUAGUAGUUACAGGUCUGGUCAACAGUAGUAGUAGUUACAGGUCUGGUCAACAGUAGUAGUAGUAGUUGCAGGUCUGGUCAACAGUAGUAGUAGUUACAGGCCUGGAGGCUGAGCACCACAGGCUUGUGAAGGGAGUGGGCAGACAGCGGUGGAGCCCUAAGAAUAGCUGCAGUGUUCCAACAGGGAGGGAUGGAUGGAUGGUGAGAUAGCCCCAGCCUGUGACCUCAGAGCAGCGCCUGGGCUGGCCCUCAUCUGGCCCUGGCUCAUGGUCGGUCCUGCUGUAACGCAACUACUCUGCCUGCCCGGCAGCUUCCUCUAGCGAGUGCCGAGUGGCCUCUUCUAUUACUGUCUCUGGCCUUUACAUGGGAAUCCAAAUAGCGGUAGAACAAGCGGUCCUCUCAGGACAUAGACUGCCCUCUGAACCCCCACCCCCCCAACUUCAUUCCCCUGCUGAAUGGUCUCUCUUUAUGUCAGCAGGGUUUAUAACCCUUCAAUCCCAGACUGGGACUGAUAGGAAUCCCCAUCAAAGCUCUCUCAGAUAGUGGUGUCACCUCUGGACAUGGGGUCCCUGAGUGAGUAGGACCCCCUGGUGGUACCCACCACGCUGCCUAAUAACCUAUAUUAGCCGUGGAGGGAUAUUUUCCAUAAAGGGGUUAACCGGGGUUGGCCCUGAAAUGACCGACCCGCUCAACCCACAACUAACCUCUCUCUUUCUUUCUGGGAAGUGACACCUUAGCCUCAGGAAGUGGACCCUCUCGCAUACUUAAAUACAGCCUUGCAGUGCUGCAGAGAGAGAGAAAGAGAGGUGUAUUGUCAGCCACUGAUGUUAAUCUCACAACGGACUGAAAUAAAUCAGCCCUUUAUGGCUUUAAAAGCAUUUCACUGCUGAAAUAUUUGACAGUCCACUGAAUAGCCCCAUAGACAUUCUACCCACUUUGAUCGCACACCCACUGUCUUUCUCACACACACACACACACACACACACACACACACACACACACACACACACACACACACACACACACACACACACACACACACACACACACACACACACACACACACACACACACACACACACACACACACACACACACACACACACACACACACACACACACACACAGUGACAGACCUAAAUCGACACGCACACAUUCAUACACACUCAGUCUAGGUCUAUUUAUAGCCACAUGAUAGCACAGUGUCUCUUUCUCCCAUUGUGUGAGUGGAAGUUGCCUGCUCCAUGCAUAUCGAGGCAGCGUCGUAGCAGGGGGUUUAUGAAUGAACACAGCAGUCUCAGCCAGAGACAGCAUCAUAGCAGCGGGUUUAUGAAUGAACACAGCAGUCUCAGCCAGAAACAGCGUCAUAGCAGCGGGUUUAUGAAUGAACACAGCAGUCUCAGCCAGAGACAGCAUCAUAGCAGGGGAUUUAUGAAUGAACACAGCAGUCUCAGCCAGAGACAGCGUCAUAGCAGGGGGUUUAUGAAUGAACACAGCAGUCUCAGCCAGAGACAGCAUCAUAG
This is a long non-coding RNA of Oncorhynchus keta (chum salmon), 9965 nucleotides long. RefSeq lists it as uncharacterized. The record is from RefSeq and is a predicted model, not a curated record. Lineage: Eukaryota; Metazoa; Chordata; Actinopteri; Salmoniformes; Salmonidae. The transcript is spliced from 5 exons.